CCGGCGACCGGCGCACGGGUGAGUAACACGUAUGCAACCUGCCCUCCGCAGGGGGAUAACCCGGAGAAAUCCGGACUAAUACCGCGUGGUACAUCUGUGGGGCAUCCCACGGGUGUUAAAAGGAAGCGAUUCCGGCGGAGGAUGGGCAUGCGGCGCAUUAGCUGUUGGCGGGGUAACGGCCCACCAAGGCGACGAUGCGUAGGGGUUCUGAGAGGAAGGUCCCCCACACUGGUACUGAGACACGGACCAGACUCCUACGGGAGGCAGCAG
This 270-nucleotide ribosomal RNA is filed under the name uncultured bacterium. Its description in RNAcentral is "partial 16S ribosomal RNA". It matches the Rfam family "Bacterial small subunit ribosomal RNA", at positions 88 to 354 of the family's 1533-position model. The record is from RNAcentral.